UAGUGUUCAUCAUGGCGAGCAGAUGGCACCAGGAGAAAUGGAGCCCCUGGCCAGUGUGAGUCUAGCAGUGCAGUCUAGCAGUCCUGGAGGAGAGGAGAGAGCCCGCCUAACUGCGGAUUGCAUUUCCAGAGGCUUAGGAGAAGGAAGUUCUCCA
This is a non-coding RNA of Otolemur garnettii (small-eared galago), 154 nucleotides long. NCBI's taxonomy places the organism in Eukaryota, Metazoa, Chordata, Mammalia, Primates, Galagidae. The record is from Rfam.